Molecule: ribosomal RNA, 253 nt
Filed under: uncultured bacterium
Lineage: Bacteria
Description: partial 16S ribosomal RNA
Rfam family: Bacterial small subunit ribosomal RNA
Source: RNAcentral
UACGAAGGGGGCUAGCGUUGCUCGGAAUCACUGGGCGUAAAGCGCACGUAGGCGGCUUUCUAAGUCAGGGGUGAAAUCCUGGAGCUCAACUCCAGAACUGCCUUUGAUACUGAGAAGCUUGAGUCCGGGAGAGGUGAGUGGAACUGCGAGUGUAGAGGUGAAAUGCGUAGAGAUCCGGAGGAACACCAAAGGCGAAGGCAGUGUCCUGGGGAGUACCUGACGCUCAGGUGCGAAAGCCAGGGGAGCGAACGGG